Long non-coding RNA from Oncorhynchus tshawytscha (Chinook salmon), 2362 nucleotides. The record is from Ensembl. Lineage: Eukaryota; Metazoa; Chordata; Actinopteri; Salmoniformes; Salmonidae.
UGGACGUGGUGUUGUGAUUCGGCCGCUCACUGGGCAGAAGUCGCUGUUGGGAGAGAGAGAGAGCGAGAGAGAGAGAGAGAUAGAGACAUACAGACAGAGAGAGAGAAGGGGAGAGAGACAGAGAGAGAGCAAGAGACAGACAGACAGAGGGAGAGAGAGAGUGAGAGACAGACAGACAGAGGGAGAGAGAGAGCGAGAGACAGACAGAGAGACAGAGGGAGAGAGAGAGCGAGAGACAGACAGAGAGACAGAGGGAGAGAGAGAGCGAGAGACAGAGGGAGAGAGCGAGAGACAGACAGACAGAGAGACAGAGGGAGAGAGAGAGCGAGAGACAGACAGAGAGACAGAGGGAGAGAGAGAGCGAGAGACAGACAGACAGAGAGACAGAGGGAGAGAGAGAGCGAGAGACAGACAGACAGAGAGACAGAGGGAGAGACAGAGGGAGAGAGAGAGCGAGAGACAGACAGACAGAGAGACAGGGAGAGAGAGAGAGCGAGAGAGAGACAGAGGGAGAGAGAGAGAGAGAGACAGACAGACAGAGAGACAGAGAGAGAGAGAGAGAGACAGACAGAGAGAAAGAGAUAGAGAGAUGAGGUAGAGACAGACAGACAGAGAGAAAGAGAGACAGAGAGAUGAGGUAGAGACAGACAGACAGAGAGAAAGAGAUAGAGAGAUGAGGUAGAGACAGACAGACAGAGAGAAAGAGAGACAGAGAGAUGAGGUAGAGACAGAAAGAAAAAAACGAUUGAGUUAUUAACAGAGCGAGAGAGGAGAGGAGGGCAGUUUGACCCACAAUGCAUUGCGGUGCGUUGUGACCCGCGUUGGGGCUCUCUCACUCAGUCCCAGUGUCACAUCAGCGUUCUACAGAUACACAGGUAAGAAGGCACAGACACAAGGGACUUAAGAGCCACCUUACUUUAACAUUUGAAACAUAUACCUGUUUUUGGAUUUCAACUAUUAUAUUUACUUGUAGAUAUAUUUUUUAAUUGUUCUCUGUCAAACUAUACUGCAUAUUGACAAAUAUAUGAACAAACUAUAAUGAUAACCGUACAGUGCAGUGUCAAUGAUACACUUUCAUUCUGGUGAUUUUGUGGGAUUCUGUUUUCAAAAGAGAAGAUAUUUUAUACAUUUUAUGGAACUAAAAGUCCUCUAGCCGUAUAUCUGCUACAUAGCAAAACUUUAUUUUGUAUUUUUAAAAUGUCUUAAACUUGACUUUUGUAAGGGUGUCUGUCUGCCUGUAUCCCCACACUUCUCCUGGUGUGAAGGAUUUCAGGUUGAGAUGGUGACGUUUUGUAAGGGUGUCUGUCUGCCUGUAUCCCCACACUUCCCCUGGUGUGAAGGAUUUCAGGUUGAGAUGGUGACGUUUUGUAAGGGUGUCUGUCUGCCUGUAUCCCUACACUUCCCCUGGUGUGAAGGAUUUCAGGUUGAGAUGGUGACAUUUUAAAAUGGUUUGCAACUAUUUCCCUGCUUCGAACAAGGAGUGUAACCUGCCUGGAUAUAAUAGCACACUGCACAGCCAAAUGAAGUAUAUCUUCACACAGGGUGUUUCCAUUCAUUUUCAUAUAAUCUGAGAUGAGGCCGAGGUAAGCGAUAUGCAGCUGUAUACAUGGUGUUUGCAGCUCGAGACAAUAUGGCCUCUCUGUUUCCUAAAAGGGGAAUUCAGACAUGACAGUUAGAAUCUCUUAUCUUCGUCAGAGUUGAGAGAGAGUCAUAGAAAAUGGCGUGUUGAGGAACUACUUUAUCUUCACGCACCAGCAAGGCAGUUAUUUCUCUAAGAUGCAUGAUCUGCUUUUUUAAAGUGUUCUUUGAGAACGUUUCUUAAAUUCUUUGAGAAUGUUUUUUAAUUGGUUUCCACUAGUUUAGUAAUUGAAGCUUUUUCCCCCGUUUUUCUUACGCCCAAGUUGUUUUUCCCUUGUAGUUUUACCCUCAUCUGUGUCUUUACAUUGCAUCGGAUAUGUCAUGUGAUGUAAAUACAAAACUGGACAUAUUUACCAGUGAUACAUUUUGUCCAAUUUGAUAAGCCAUCCGAGUCACUCAACACUUCAUUGAAAAAGGGGUGUUACGACACAGAAUGAACGAGGAGCCAUUUUAGGCUCGGCAGUUACAUGUCAUGUUCAUUCUGCUGUCUCAUAGCCUCCCGACGACAAGACGUUGUGAAAUGGCUGACAUGGAACGCAGCACUUUCUGCACUGCCUGUCUGAGAUGCUGUGUGUGAUGCUCUGUAAUGGUGGUGUAAUGGUGGUGUAAUGGUGGUGUAAUGGUGGUGUAAUGUGUAUGUGUGUGUGUGUGUGUGUGUGUGUGUGUGUGUGUGUGUGUGUGUGUGUGUGUGUGUGUGUGUGUGUGUGAUGCUCUGUAAUGGUGG